Molecule: ribosomal RNA, 253 nt
Filed under: uncultured bacterium
Lineage: Bacteria
Description: partial 16S ribosomal RNA
Rfam family: Bacterial small subunit ribosomal RNA
Source: RNAcentral
UACGGAGGUGGCAAGCGUUGUCCGGAAUCAUUGGGCGUAAAGCGCGCGUAGGCGGCCCCGUAAGUCCGCUGUGAAAGUCAAAGGCUCAACCUUUGAAAGCCGGUGGAUACUGUGGGGCUAGAGUACGGAAGAGGCGAGUGGAAUUCCUGGUGUAGCGGUGGAAUGCGCAGAUAUCAGGAGGAACACCAAUAGCGAAGGCAGCUCGCUGGGACGUUACUGACGCUGAGGCGCGAAAGCGUGGGGAGCGAACAGG